CAACCUGGGCCACAUCUCCACGGGAGAGAACGUUUAAAGAAAAAAAAAAGGCUUGCCGCCCCCGCCCUCCUCUGCGAAAGGCCCCCCAGUGCCCACGCCAGGAGGUGAGGCCUGGCGGGCCCAGCAGGGUCUCCCCUCCUCCCUGGCCCUCUCUUCUGGAACAUUCAACACGCGGUGUCUGCCUACUGAUCGGACAGCCUCUGCUCUGGGACGUUCUGGAAGAGCCACGCUCUUUCCGUCUCUCUCCGCACCCGCACUACCCUCCAUCUACGCCUCUCAGAGGGGCACCCGCAGGCCUUGAGGUGAGAACAAAGCCGGGGCCCCAGGAGGAGAAGCAGCGGGAGGAGCAGGGGCUGAGGAGGCAGACAGGCGGGCUCCUUCCCUCCCCGGCUGUCCCUGCCCUCGCGCGGCGGACGUAUUUUUCAAGUUUCUAAGAAAAUGAGCCCACGGAGGUUGUGCUUAAACCAGCACCCACGGCAGUUCCCACACAGCGUUGCUCCGCCGUGAGCACGGGCUUCAGGGGCAAAGCUGGGACAGUCACCGGCGCCGGAGCCCACUAUCAAAUCUCAGGCAAGUGGAGCGGCGAGUGACAUCGCUGCUACUUCUCAUGCAGGAGAGCGAGAAGAGGCCAAGUCACCACAGAACCAAGGCAGACGGCUGACGGCAGAGCCAGACGGACACGUCGAAGGAACUCUUCCCUGAACCCAACAGUCAGUACAACACCAACCCCCUGAAGCCGGCUCCUUCCCCGAGAAACCCCACAGCACGUGCUGAUCCUGUAAUGCGAGCCCAUCCUAACCCUGCCCCCAGCCCCGGAGGGCACACUGCCAGGCGGACCCACACCUGCUCUAGGAGGGCCCUGCUACCAUCACUGCGUUUAACGAGGCUGGUGACCUAUGUGGGCGUAGGUGUGACUCCCACUGCGCUGGGAAUCAGCACAAGAGAACACAGUAAGUUGGGACACAGUGGAGAACGUGGCUUAGUCUUCAUCAUCCGACCCUUCAGGGCUCAGCACCGUGCCAGGCACACAGUAGGCACUGGCAGCAAAGCAGCGGCAAAAGGGGCAACGUCCCAAGAAUGGACUUUCGGAAAAGAAAGAAUGAAUAAAAGUCACAAACACAGUCUUGCUCUCAAGAACACUCCGCCGUGCGUUUCUGAAGGGCGAUUCUGCUUAUGGAGAUAAAAGACGAAACAGAAUCCCUUUGCAAGCUGUUUCAACGUCUGCUCACAACGCUGUACACCUGAAACUAAGAUGUGUGGGGCAACUCUAAUGGAAAAAAAUUCAAAAAUUAUUUUUAGAAAAGAUAAAACAGCCCGAAAUCAAUUAGAAAGUUUCAAGCACAGGUUGAAAUACAUUGAGUCAGAUUCAUUACUUUAUACAUCACAGUGAGUCAACUAUUGUAAAAGAUAUGGUGGUGUAUACACACACACACACACACACACACACAUAAAUGCAUAUACAUAUGGUCACAUAUAUACAAACAUACACGCAUCCUUAAAACACAGACAUUCCAAUAGAAAUGGCAGCAGACCCUGCAAGCAUACCAAGUGUGUUAAGUUUAAACAGGCUGCGCUGAUAGCGUAUCAAGGACAAACAGGGCUCUAAACACAGAAUCUCCCUCCGUGUAAACGCUGCCACCUCGUUUACAAAUAUUUGAUUUGUCAAAAGCUGAUCUGCAGACAUUUUUGCCAGGAGUUUAGGGCAGAGGGGCUCUCCAGGUCUCCCCGGGGGCCCCUGGGGCAGCUCCGACUGGGAGGGGCUGGUGAGGGGUGUCGGUGACUUCGCCCCCAGCCCCAGGGAGGUCAGGACUCGCUUUCACGGGGACUCAGCCGCGCACUCUCACUGCUAAUCUCGCUUCUUCAGCAUCACAAACACGGACUGAGCGUUUCACAAACAAGUGCCCCCUUUGUUAAUAUUUUCUUUGGAUUCCACCAACACCUUCCUGGCCUCUUCAGGGGGCGUGUUGUGGGGGAGACCUCGGUACCGCUCCCUCGGGCAGCAUCAGGCCGAGAAUCAAUGAACCACGUCUGCCGGUGACACAACACCCAGCACUGAGGAGACCAGAAAGACUCGGAGCCUGGAACAAAGGCCAGUCCAGCUCUGGGCCAGGCCCUGCGACUCCAUCUCUUCCCAGGACCUCGCCCGCCUGCCCAGGUGAGGGCUCAGGUGUCAGCCACUCCGAGUCCCUAGGGAAGGAACGGAGCCAACGCCCUUCUCUCCUUACUCACCCUCCCCAACCUUUUCAUCAGGACACGCUGCGGCCCAGGAGCGCAUCCCAAAGCGGCCACUUGGUCCGAAGAGCAGAGGGGCCGGUCCCGGCUCCAGCUGCUGAGGGUCCCACCGAGCCUC
This is a long non-coding RNA of Myotis brandtii (Brandt's bat), 2350 nucleotides long. RefSeq lists it as uncharacterized. The record is from RefSeq and is a predicted model, not a curated record. Lineage: Eukaryota; Metazoa; Chordata; Mammalia; Chiroptera; Vespertilionidae. The transcript is spliced from 4 exons.